GGGCAACAGUGAAAUGAAGACAGAGAGCUCAAUCGAGAGAGAAUGAGAAAGGGAGCAAGCCUGUUGUUUCGAAGGGCCCCUAGCACUGUAGCCUUCCCCGAUAUAUAUAGUGGAGCGUGGUAUGGCGUCGUCAUUAAUGGCGCGGACAAGUGAGGAAUUGUCAACUCACCGUAGACUGUCAGAGUCACCGUGAAAGUGUCACAUCGCCGUGGGACUGUCAAAUCGCUAGGGUUGACAAUGCCCUAGGUGGGAUAAUGCCCUUAGGCGGCGGUGCCGCGUGCUGCUGUCAGGGCUGACAGUCUCUGGCAGCUGUACGGCGAUCGGAGGAGUCGACC
This 335-nucleotide long non-coding RNA is filed under the name Elaeis guineensis (African oil palm). RNAcentral's name for it is "long non-coding RNA (EGUI_LNC013679)". The record is from RNAcentral. Lineage: Eukaryota; Viridiplantae; Streptophyta; Magnoliopsida; Arecales; Arecaceae.